Molecule: RNA transcript, 3409 nt
Organism: Mangifera indica (mango)
Lineage: Eukaryota; Viridiplantae; Streptophyta; Magnoliopsida; Sapindales; Anacardiaceae
Gene name: fanconi-associated nuclease 1 homolog
Exons: 16
Source: RefSeq, a predicted model, not a curated record
UUGGCAGAUCAAGGGUUCAGAUGUACGAGUAACCAUUUGUACCAAUGCAUUGUGCCACACCCAAUAGUUACCGAAUUGGCGGGACGGGAGCUCAGCAUUUCUUACGACACAAGAGACCAACCGAUAAAACAUGAUAGAAGAUUUUAAUUAUUUAUCAAAGUUUUAAAAAAUAAUGCUUAGAGGAAGAGAGAGCUUGGUCCGAUUAAUCGGCAGGCGUAGGCGAUUUCUGCUAAAUCGUCAAUCUCUUCUCUCUUCUCCUAUCCAGAGCUCUUUGAAUCUUUGCACUGAUAAAAAUGGUGAAAUCUUUUCGGCUAAAACGGACGAUUACAAAGCUUCUAAUGUUGUAAAGUGCCCUAUAUGUGGUAACAAUGUCUCUGCUGAUGAUAAUAUCAUCAACACUCAUCUUGAUGCCUGCCUGUCUAGAGGAACCAAAAGAAAAUUGACGCAACGCACUCUUCUGCAAUUGAACUUCUGUACACAAUCAAAAGGUCCAAUGUAUUCAAAUGUAACAGAACGGCAAACUACUAAUGUCGUAACUGAGGAUCCUGCUAAAAGUCUUGUGCCGAAUGCCAUUUGUGGAUUGGAAAACACAGUUGCAGUUGAAGAAGAUGAUAAUAACCAUGCAGUAUCUCCACUACAAUUUGAAUGUAUGGAGCAUACUUCCAAGGCUGGUCUAACCAAAAACCAAAUUAACCAUCAGAAGAUCGACUGCCAGGAUGAGUUGCCUUCAUCUUCACCAGAUACUGAGGUUCCCAAACCUGACAUAGACUUCACUUUUGAUGGCAUAUCUGGGGCCACUCUCCAAACUUUUAUUGUAGGCCGUAGGUUUAGCGAUGAAAAAGAGAUAAAUCUUGAAACUAGUAUCUCUCUGUUAAGAGACCCUCAAAAUCCUAAGGAUCCCUAUGCUAUCAAGGUACUUUGUGCAGAUUCUGGAAGCUGUAAAGUUCUUGGGUAUCUUCCUCAAGAGUUAUCUCAAUAUUUGUCUCCUUUAAUUGAGAAGUCCUGCCUGAGUUUUGAGGGUUAUGUGACUUCAGCACCCAAACAUUCUCAUGAUGUUGUUCCAAUUAAAAUUACAUGUCACAAGCUUGUAUCAGAUUGUGAGAUAGAUGAUGAUAUUGAGGUUUUCAAUUGUCUGUGGAAAAGGGCUUUACAUGUGGUUGAAUCUGCAAAGAAUUAUCCAUCAAGUAUGAUAAAAUAUCAGCACAACUUCAAUCUGUUAGUACAAGAAGUACUAAGAAGUAAUCCUCACCUUUUCACUGAUGAUGAAAGAGUUUUCUUGGAAUCAUUCUCCACACUGUCUGCCGAUGGUCAGAGGCUUUUUAUUCGGCUUUAUACAAGGAAAGGUCCAUGGUUUCGACUGUCCAGUAUUUCCUAUCGUGAAGUGUUGGAUUCUCAAGAAGCAGUUAAGGAGCUCUUGGCUAAUGGCUAUAUAUGCUCUUUUGGAGACAAAAAUGAACUGCAUGAUGACAUGAAGGAGAUUUGCAAUUUGCUCACUGUCUCUGAGCUGCGUGAAAUUUUAAGUGUUCUUAAAAAGAAUUGUGUUCGUGGUUCAAGAAAGCAGGAUCUUGCCAUGUUUCUUCUUCAUUCCUAUGAAGAUGGUUUAUGCACGCUCCUGCCAGACAUGAUUCUUGAUAGAACAGGCAUCUGCAUUAGAAUAUCUUCAAAAGCUGAGUCCCUUAUCUGGCGUGCUGAGAGGCUUUUCUUCCUCAAUGGAGAGCAGGAUCUGUCAGCUUUUCUGCUAGUUGAUUUAGGGAUAGUCAAAUAUCCAGCUUACAACCGCAUAAUUUCGGAACAGAUUUUCUCAAGUCUAAGUGACCUUCUUGCUUAUGAAGAGGCUAUUGAACUAGCGCAAAUAAUGGAUCAAUCUCUGGAUGAAAACAAUGUUGAAUUAGUGUCAAGAUGUAUUAUGAUAGCUGACUCCUUUAUGCCUUGCACUUAUUCAGAAACAAUUCAAUCUACAACUUCUGAAUUAGCUAGUACAUUUCAUUCCCGCUUUUCAGCAUCAUGGGUGUACUCUAAAGUGGUCUUGUUAGGAAUUUCCUUCCUUGAACGUGAGCAUCGGUAUCAUGAUGCUGUAAAUUUACUGAAACGGUUGCUUUGUAAUUUCCCUUGUGACGGGAGAAGAGGAUAUUGGACACUGAGGUUGUCAGUUGAUUUAGAGCAUCUGGGGUGUUCAAAUGAGAGCCUAUUAGUUGCUGAAGCUGGGUUAUUGGAUCCAUGGGUUCGUGCUGGUUCCAAAAUGGCCCUGCAAAGGAGGGUUCUUCGCCUGGGAAAACCACCAAGGCGGUGGAAAACCCCUAGCUUUUCAGAAUCCAUUAAAAGGAAGAUCAUUGAGGUCCAUAUUCAGGGGAGACCAUUAAAUUGUGAAAUGGGUAUGAAAAGCAGAUUUUAUGGAGAAGAUGGGGAACAAUGUGGAGUGGAGCAGCUUGCUUUACAAUAUUAUGCUGGGGAAGGCGGUGGAUGGGAGGGUGUUCAUACAGAGAGUGGCAUUUGGUUGACUAUUUUUGGGCUUCUCAUGUGGGAUAUUGUGUUUUCUGAUGUACCUGAUGUUUUUCGCUCCAAAUUUCAGAAUGCUCCCUUGGAUUUGGAUACAGAUAGCUUUUACCCAGUUAGAAAGAACCUAAUAGAAUCUCAGCUACAAAAAGUUCAUGAUGGUAUGGCUGAGGAGAUCCUCAUUACUUCAUGGGAAUCAAAUGUGGGAACAGCUUGCAGAGGAGUUAAUUGGGAUCGACAUUCCCUGUCUGAGCUUCGAGCAGCGGUUACCUGCAUUGGUGGCCCUUGUUUGGCCUCAUUGUGCCGACAUCUCGCUCAAGAUUACCAGAGUUGGUCAAGUGGAAUGCCUGAUUUGUUGUUAUGGCGUUUCCAUGGAGAAUACAGAGGUGAAGCGAAGCUUGUUGAAGUUAAAGGCCCCAGGGAUAAACUCUCUGAACAGCAGAGAGCAUGGCUACUUGUGUUAAUGGAUAGUGGGUUCAAAGUUGAGGUCUGUAAAGUGAGUACCACACCAAAAUCUUCAUUGCUGUGAUUGCUUGGAAGAAAGUUGAAGAACAUUGAGUUUUACAAACGUUGGAAGUUUGUUCUGCCAUUUGAAAUUUGAAGAUUGAAAGAAAUAUCUGUUUGGAAACCCUAGCUCCAAUUGCUGCUUUUUCAAGAUGGUGGCUUGUCAAUUUAAGGCGAUGGUAGCUCAUUGGCAGUGAUAGGAGCCAACCUGAGCAUGCAAGGGGAAGAGUAAAUGAAAAUGAGAAAAGAGGAUGUUGAGUAAAUUUGAUAUCUAAAAAAGAUUUUUUAAUUUUUUUUAUUUAUUUGGGAUGAUAAUGUAAUUUUGAAAAGUAAAAUAGUUAAACAUUACAUGAUAAUUUAACAUUCUUAUGUGAGAAUUCUUUUAUGUUAAUAGAGUUCAAAUUGGGUGAAA